AUACGGAGGGUCCAAGCGUUAUCCGGAUUCAUUGGGUUUAAAGGGUCCGCAGGCGGAAAAAUAAGUCAGUGGUGAAAGCCUACAGCUCAACUGUAGAACUGCCAUUGAAACUGUUUUUCUUGAGUAUAUAUGAAGUGGGCGGAAUAUAUCAUGUAGCGGUGAAAUGCAUAGAUAUGAUAUAGAACACCGAUUGCGAAGGCAGCUCACUAAACUAUUACUGACGCUCAGGGACGAAAGCGUGGGGAGCGAACAGAAUUAGAUACCCCAGUAGUCC
Molecule: ribosomal RNA, 274 nt
Filed under: uncultured bacterium
Lineage: Bacteria
Description: partial 16S ribosomal RNA
Rfam family: Bacterial small subunit ribosomal RNA
Source: RNAcentral